RNAcentral lists this ribosomal RNA (434 nucleotides) under uncultured bacterium. RNAcentral's name for it is "partial 16S ribosomal RNA". It matches the Rfam family "Bacterial small subunit ribosomal RNA", at positions 29 to 507 of the family's 1533-position model. The record is from RNAcentral.
AGCGAACGCUGGCGGCAGGCCUAACACAUGCAAGUCGAACGAACCUUUCGGGGUUAGUGGCGGACGGGUGAGUAACACGUGGGAACGUGCCUUUAGGUUCGGAAUAACUCAGGGAAACUUGUGCUAAUACCGAAUGUGCCCUUCGGGGGAAAGAUUUAUCGCCUAUAGAGCGGCCCGCGUCUGAUUAGCUAGUUGGUUGAGGUAAUGGCUCACCAAGGCGACGAUCAGUAGCUGGUCGGAGAGGAUGAUCUGCCACAUUGGGACUGAGACACGGCCCAAACUCCUACGGGAGGCAGCAGUGGGGAAUCUUGCGCAAUGGGCGAAAGCCUGACGCAGCCAUGCCGCGUGAAUGAUGAAGGUCUUAGGAUUGUAAAAUUCUUUCACCGGGGACGAUAAUGACGGUACCCGGAGAAGAAGCCCCGGCUAACUUCGUG